GUCUAUGGCCAUGCUACCCUGAAUAAGCCCAAUGCCGUCUGAUCUCGGAAGUUAAGCAGGGUCGGGCCUGGUUAGUACUUGGAUGGGAGACCACCUAGGACGACCAGGUGCUGUAGGCA
This 119-nucleotide ribosomal RNA is filed under the name Pteropus alecto (black flying fox). The record is from RNAcentral. Lineage: Eukaryota; Metazoa; Chordata; Mammalia; Chiroptera; Pteropodidae.